Long non-coding RNA from Herpailurus yagouaroundi (jaguarundi), 1998 nucleotides. RefSeq lists it as uncharacterized. The record is from RefSeq and is a predicted model, not a curated record. The transcript has 3 exons. NCBI's taxonomy places the organism in Eukaryota, Metazoa, Chordata, Mammalia, Carnivora, Felidae.
UCCGUCUGUCUGUCUCUCUCUCAGAAAUCAAUAAACAUUAAAAAAAAAAAAGAAAGAAACUAAAUAAAAGACAUCUAUUGAAUCAGAGUUGUGGAAGAAAAAUGACUCAAUAAAAUUAAUGGUAUCAUAAACCCAUCUUUCCUUUUGAAGCAACCUCUGACUUUGUCAUCCUAGUUUCAGUGCAUAUAGGAGUGAAUCUGAGGAAAAAAUUUUAAUCGAGUUAAAAUGGCUGUCAACAAUGUCGCUAUGUACUAUGUAAAGACAUGUGUACUUAGUCCUAUUUUACUAUUUGCUCACGUGACAGACACACUUUCAAAUAUUAGCAGCCUCUAUUAUAUAUGACUUUGCCUAGUACUUUGGGAAAAUGGAGCUUUUUCCCAUCACUGGAAUAUUAAAAUUUGAAGCAUUUCUGCUUCUCACUAUAGUUAUGAACUAUGUGGGGCAUUUAAUUCAUCAAAGAGAGAUAUCCCCAAGGUCUCUGUGAUGAGUCUGUGAAUAGCCAUGCCAAAGUUACCUGCCACAAUUAUAGAGUGAGUGUCAGGACCCAAGCAAUUUAGAAAUCUCUUUCUUCUAUCUUGGGAGGCUUUGCUUUCAUCUAGUCUCAAGAAUAAUAAAUUGCAAUAGUUCUUGUAAAGGGACUUUCUUUCAAUUUUUAUAUCUAUUUAGGAUAGACUAGCUUAGUAAUGAUGAAGUAUGUGUCACUAUAUACUCUAUCUUUUUUCCUUUUAUUUCCUCCUGUCAUUCUCUUCCUUAGGAUGCUAAUGAAAAACAUGAAGCCCAAAUAAUGAGGUCAGAGUUGUUACAAUCACCAGCCCAUUCUGAAGAGUCCAAGCAGAUUUGGGGUGUCCCACUGAGCUACAUGAUCCAGAAAUUCCCCCUGGCUCAUAUAUUUUUAUAAAGGUUGAAUUUAAAUACCACAUUAUAGGUACUUCUUCAUGAGAAUUGGAUAAGAAUUCAAUUUUCCUUGCAAGGAUUUCUAGGAGUGGUAGAAGGAGGCAAUCUUACCUUAUGUCCAAUCUUAGGGGGAAAGCAUUCCGUCUUUCACCAAUGAGACACAUGAGGCACCAGAAAGGUUAAGAAUAUUCUCCAAGGACACAGAAGUAACAGGUGGCAGACCUGAGAUUUGAACCCAGAUUGUCUGACUCUAGAGUCUGUGCUCUUGACAACUCCCCUGUGACUUUAAAGAAAGGCCCCUAUUCCACAUAUUCAUUACUGUUAUACAGUGUAACCUAUAGUAAAACUGAAGGACAAAAACCUCAAACUACUAUUUCUUAUUUGAAAUAGCUGAAAUUAAAAGCCUGCUUAAAUGUUUCAAGAGAAGUUAAGUUUUCCUGUUGAGGAGCUAAAGAUUUGUAAUAUGGUUCUCAAGAAAGAGCCUUUAUCCCUUUUACUUGAAGAGAUUGUUCCUCUUUCUCAUCCAACACAACAGCUUGAAUUAGUCCAAAGUCUUGGGACGGAACCCCUAUGUGUUAGUGAAUCUAUGUUAUCAGUGAAACUCAUUUAUUUCCUUUUUAAAUUAUGAAACCUAAGCUCAUAUUUGCUUCCUACCGUCACCAGAAAAAGUUAUGGUAGAAGGUUUUGGAAUUUCUUCUCAGUUACAGUUGACAGUGAACUCCUCAGUGUCCAGCAUUAGUCUUAAACUACAUAGUUCCCAGUCUGCUAAGCAUUUAUACAAUCAUGACACAAAAAGUACAUGCAAAUAAUAUAGUGUACUGAAUUAAAAAAUUGAAUUACUUAAAAAUAAACUGGGAAGCUUCCAUUUAAGAUACCUACAGUGAUGUAUAGUGCCAAUCACCAUCUCUCUUUUAAGAUUUAAGAUGCGUCAAUUUUAUAUCUUCAUUUUUUUUAGGUUUAAUUUAAGUUCCAGUAUUGUUAACAUACAGUGUAAUUAGUUUCAGGUGUACAAUUUAGUGAUUCCAUGCUUACAUACCACACCUGGUGAUCAUCACAGCAAGUGCCCUCCCUAAUCCCCAUCACCUAUUUCACUCAUUCCCCCCA